Molecule: unclassified non-coding RNA, 444 nt
Filed under: Hevea brasiliensis (rubber tree)
Lineage: Eukaryota; Viridiplantae; Streptophyta; Magnoliopsida; Malpighiales; Euphorbiaceae
Source: RNAcentral
CCCAACCUAAGACGAUACAUGCUAAGUGAAAAAACCUGGAGGGAACAAAAUUACAAUCCCAGAACCAAAGGAAACAAACAGACCAAAAACCAGCUCAAGUCUCAAGAGAAAAACUGCAAACAAACAAAAGAAACAUGUUGAAUACACAAAUACGUACAACAAUUUCAAACCAGGAUUUAAAAGAAAGCAAUGAAAUCCUCAUUGCGCCAUGAACCUUGUUUGGCCAACAAAUCUGCAACUGAGUUGUAUUCUCGUGGGGAGAAGCAAAAGGUAAGAGGUGGAAGGGACUCAAUUCUGGUAACAUUGGAGUUAAGCACCUAUUAUAGUCGCCAAGGAGUGGAUUCUACUUUAAGAACCCAAGAAACAGCAUUCUUUGUAUCUGAUCCAACCAAAAUAGAAUUAGAUGAGUCAAAAGAAAAAAAAUUGGCACAAGAUAACUCCAAA